UACGUAGGGGGCAAGCGUUGUCCGGAUUUAUUGGGCGUAAAGAGCGUGUAGGCGGCUUGGUAGGUCCGCUGUGAAAACUCGAGGCUCAACCUCGAGAUGUCGGCGGAAACCACUUGGCUAGAGUCCGGAAGAGGAGAGUGGAAUUCCUGGUGUAGCGGUGAAAUGCGCAGAUAUCAGGAAGAACACCUAUGGCGAAGGCAGCUCUCUGGGACGGUACUGACGCUGAGGCGCGAAAGCGUGGGGAGCGAACAGG
Molecule: ribosomal RNA, 253 nt
Filed under: uncultured bacterium
Lineage: Bacteria
Description: partial 16S ribosomal RNA
Rfam family: Bacterial small subunit ribosomal RNA
Source: RNAcentral